CGGACCGACGGGAGCUUGCUCCCUUAGGUCAGCGGCGGACGGGUGAGUAACACGUGGGUAACCUGCCUGUAAGACUGGGAUAACUCCGGGAAACCGGGGCUAAUACCGGAUGCUUGAUUGAACCGCAUGGUUCAAUCAUAAAAGGUGGCUUUUAGCUACCACUUGCAGAUGGACCCGCGGCGCAUUAGCUAGUUGGUGAGGUAACGGCUCACCAAGGCGACGAUGCGUAGCCGACCUGAGAGGGUGAUCGGCCACACUGGGACUGAGACACGGCCCAGACUCCUACGGGAGGCAGCAGUAGGGAAUCUUCCGCAAUGGACGAAAGUCUGACGGAGCAACGCCGCGUGAGUGAUGAAGGUUUUCGGAUCGUAAAACUCUGUUGUUAGGGAAGAACAAGUACCGUUCGAAUAGGGCGGUACCUUGACGGUACCUAACCAGAAAGCCACGGCUAACUACGUGCCAGCAGCCGCGGUAAUACGUAGGUGGCAAGCGUUGUCCGGAAUUAUUGGGCGUAAAGCGCGCGCAGGCGGUUUCUUAAGCCUGAUGUGAAAGCCCCCGGCUCAACCGGGGAGGGUCAUUGGAAACUGGGGAACUUGAGUGCAGAAGAGGAGAGUGGAAUUCCACGUGUAGCGGUGAAAUGCGUAGAGAUGUGGAGGAACACCAGUGGCGAAGGCGACUCUCUGGUCUGUAACUGACGCUGAGGCGCGAAAGCGUGGGGAGCGAACAGG
Molecule: ribosomal RNA, 728 nt
Filed under: uncultured Bacillus sp.
Lineage: Bacteria; Bacillati; Bacillota; Bacilli; Caryophanales; Bacillaceae
Description: bacterial SSU rRNA
Rfam family: Bacterial small subunit ribosomal RNA
Source: RNAcentral